UACGUAGGUGGCAAGCGUUGUCCGGAUUUACUGGGUGUAAAGGGCGUGUAGCCGGGCUGACAAGUCAGAUGUGAAAUUCCGGGGCUCAACCCCGGACCUGCAUUUGAAACUGUUGGUCUUGAGUAUCGGAGAGGCAGGCGGAAUUCCUAGUGUAGCGGUGAAAUGCGUAGAUAUUAGGAGGAACACCAGUGGCGAAGGCGGCCUGCUGGACGACAACUGACGGUGAGGCGCGAAAGCGUGGGUAGCAAACAGG
RNAcentral lists this ribosomal RNA (253 nucleotides) under uncultured bacterium. Its description in RNAcentral is "partial 16S ribosomal RNA". It matches the Rfam family "Bacterial small subunit ribosomal RNA", at positions 524 to 776 of the family's 1533-position model. The record is from RNAcentral.